AUUGAACGCUGGCGGCAUGCUUUACACAUGCAAGUCGAACGGCAGCGCGGGCUUCGGCCUGGCGGCGAGUGGCGAACGGGUGAGUAAUGCAUCGGAACGUGCCCAGUAGUGGGGGAUAGCCCGGCGAAAGCCGGAUUAAUACCGCAUACGACCUGAGGGUGAAAGCGGGGGACCGAAAGGCCUCGCGCUAUUGGAGCGGCCGAUGUCGGAUUAGCUAGUUGGUGGGGUAAAGGCUUACCAAGGCGACGAUCCGUAGCUGGUCUGAGAGGACGACCAGCCAACGGGGGAAUGAGAAACGGCCCAGACCCCCAGGGGGGGGAGGAGGGGGGAAUUUUGGAAAAGGGGGGCAACCCUGACCCAGCCAUGCCGCGGGCGGGAAGAAGGCCUUCGGGUUGUAAACCGUUUUUUUUGGGGAAGAAAUCCUCUGGGCUAAUACCCCGGGGGGAUGGCGGUACCGGAAGAAUAAGCACCGGCUAACUACGU
This 483-nucleotide ribosomal RNA is filed under the name uncultured bacterium. RNAcentral's name for it is "partial 16S ribosomal RNA". It matches the Rfam family "Bacterial small subunit ribosomal RNA", at positions 29 to 506 of the family's 1533-position model. The record is from RNAcentral.